This 74-nucleotide transfer RNA is filed under the name Clostridia bacterium. RNAcentral's name for it is "tRNA-Gln". It matches the Rfam family "tRNA". From Rfam's summary of the family: Transfer RNA (tRNA) molecules are approximately 80 nucleotides in length. Their secondary structure includes four short double-helical elements and three loops (D, anti-codon, and T loops). The record is from RNAcentral. Lineage: Bacteria; Bacillati; Bacillota; Clostridia.
UGCGGGAUGGUGUAGUGGUAGCACGCAUGACUCUGGAUCAUGUCGCCUAGGUUCGAGCCCUAGUCCCGCAGCCA